GACGAACGCUGGCGGCGUGCUUAACACAUGCAAGUCGAACGGAAAGGCCCUGCUUUUGUGGGGUGCUCGAGUGGCGAACGGGUGAGUAACACGUGAGUAACCUGCCCUUGACUUUGGGAUAACUUCAGGAAACUGGGGCUAAUACCGGAUAGGAGCUCCUGCUGCAUGGUGGGGGUUGGAAAGUUUCGGCGGUUGGGGAUGGACUCGCGGCUUAUCAGCUUGUUGGUGGGGUAGUGGCUUACCAAGGCUUUGACGGGUAGCCGGCCUGAGAGGGUGACCGGCCACAUUGGGACUGAGAUACGGCCCAGACUCCUACGGGAGGCAGCAGUGGGGAAUAUUGCACAAUGGGCGGAAGCCUGAUGCAGCAACGCCGCGUGCUGGAUGACGGCCUUCGGGUUUUAAACCGCUUUCGCCUGUGACGAAGCGUGAGUGACGGUAAUGGGUAAAGGAGCACCGGCUAGCUACGUG
Molecule: ribosomal RNA, 468 nt
Filed under: uncultured bacterium
Lineage: Bacteria
Description: partial 16S ribosomal RNA
Rfam family: Bacterial small subunit ribosomal RNA
Source: RNAcentral